AGAGUUUGAUCCUGGCUCAGGAUGAACGCUGGCGGCGUGCUUAACACAUGCAAGUCGAACGAAGCGCUUGGAUGGAAUUCUUCGGAAGGAAGCUCAAGUGACUGAGUGGCGGACGGGUGAGUAACGCGUGGGUAACCUGCCUCAUACAGGGGGAUAACAGUUAGAAAUGACUGCUAAUACCGCAUAAGCACACGUGAUCGCAUGAUCGAGUGUGAAAAACUCCGGUGGUAUGAGAUGGACCCGCGUCUGAUUAGCUAGUUGGUGGGGUAAUGGCCCACCAAGGCGACGAUCAGUAGCCGGCCUGAGAGGGUGAACGGCCACAUUGGGACUGAGACACGGCCCAAACUCCUACGGGAGGCAGCAGUGGGGAAUAUUGCACAAUGGAGGAAACUCUGAUGCAGCGAUGCCGCGUGAGGGAAGAAGGUUUUAGGAUUGUAAACCUCUGUCUUUGGGGACGAAAAAUGACGGUACCCAAGGAGGAAGCUCCGGCUAACUACGUGCCAGCAGCCGCGGUAAUACGUAGGGAGCGAGCGUUGUCCGGAAUUACUGGGUGUAAAGGGAGCGUAGGCGGGAUCGCAAGUCAGAUGUGAAAACUAUGGGCUUAACCCAUAAACUGCAUUUGAAACUGUGGUUCUUGAGUGAAGUAGAGGUAAGCGGAAUUCCUAGUGUAGCGGUGAAAUGCGUAGAUAUUAGGAGGAACAUCAGUGGCGAAGGCGGCUUACUGGGCUUUAACUGACGCUGAGGCUCGAAAGCGUGGGGAGCAAACAGGAUUAGAUACCCUGGUAGUCCACGCCGUAAACGAUGACUGAAAGGUGUCGGGUGGCGAAGGCCAUUCGGUGCCGCAGUUAACGCAAUAAGCAGUCCACCUGGGGAGUACGUUGGCAAGAAUGAAACUCAAAGGAAUUGACGGGGACCCGCACAAGCGGUGGAGCAUGUGGUUUAAUUUGAAGCAACGCGAAGAACCUUACCUGAUCUUGGCAUCCCGAUGACCGCUUCGUAAUGGAAGCUUUUCUUCGGAACAUCGGUGACAGGUGGUGCAUGGUUGUCGUCAGCUCGUGUCGUGAGAUGUUGGGUUAAGUCCCGCAACGGGCGCAACCCCUAUCCUCAGUAGCCAGCAUUUAAGGUGGGCACUCUGGGGAGACUGCCAGGGAUAACCUGGAGGAAGGCGGGGAUGACGUCAAAUCAUCAUGCCCCUUACGAUUUGGGCUACACACGUGCUACAAUGGCGUAAACAAAGGGAAGCGAGAUCGUGAGAUGGAGCAAAUCCCAAAAAUAACGUCCCAGUUCGGACUGUAGUCUGCAACCCGACUACACGAAGCUGGAAUCGCUAGUAAUCGCGGAUCAGAAUGCCGCGGUGAAUACAUUCCCGGGUCUUGCACACACCGCCCGUCA
This 1392-nucleotide ribosomal RNA is filed under the name uncultured bacterium. RNAcentral's name for it is "bacterial SSU rRNA". It matches the Rfam family "Bacterial small subunit ribosomal RNA". The record is from RNAcentral.